UCGGGGUGCACCAGGCGCGAAAACUUUACAAUGCCGGCAACGGCGAUAAGGGAACCUCGAGUGCCAGGUUACAAAUCUGGCUGUCGUGAUGCCUAAAAAGCAUUGCAUAGCAAGGGCCGGGCAAGACCGGUGCCAGCCGCCGCGGUAACACCGGCGGCUCGAGUGGUAACCGUUAUUAUUGGGUCUAAAGGGUCUGUAGCCGGCCGGGUAAGUCUCUUGGGAAAUCUGGCAGCUUAACUGUCAGGCUUUCAGGAGAUACUGCCUGGCUCGAGGCCGGGAGAGGUGAGAGGUACUUCAGGGGUAGGGGUGAAAUCUUGUAAUCCUUGAAGGACCACCAGUGGCGAAGGCGUCUCACCAGAACGGACCUGACGGCAAGGGACGAAAGCUAGGGGCACGAACCGGAUUAGAUACCCGGGUAGUCCUAGCCGUAAACGAUACUCGCUAGGUGUCGGCCACGGUGCGACCGUGGUCGGUGCCGUAGGGAAGCCGUGAAGCGAGCCACCUGGGAAGUACGGCCGCAAGGCUGAAACUUAAAGGAAUUGGCGGGGGAGCAC
Molecule: ribosomal RNA, 554 nt
Filed under: uncultured archaeon
Lineage: Archaea
Description: bacterial SSU rRNA
Rfam family: Archaeal small subunit ribosomal RNA
Source: RNAcentral